RNAcentral lists this ribosomal RNA (460 nucleotides) under uncultured bacterium. RNAcentral describes it as "partial 16S ribosomal RNA". It matches the Rfam family "Bacterial small subunit ribosomal RNA", at positions 338 to 795 of the family's 1533-position model. The record is from RNAcentral.
CCUACGGGUGGCAGCAGUGAGGAAUAUUGGUCAAUGGGCGGAAGCCUGAACCAGCCAAGUAGCGUGCAGGAUGACGGCCCUACGGGUUGUAAACUGCUUUUAUACGGGAAUAACGCGCCUUACGUGUAGGGCUUUGCAUGUACCGUACGAAUUAGGACUGGCUAAUCUCGGGCCAGCAGCCGCGGUAAUACGGGGGGUCCGGGCGUUAUCCGGGUUUUUUGGGGUUAAAGGGAGCGUAGGCCGCAUGUCAAGCUUGCUGUGAAAUGUCCGGGCUCAACCCGGGCCUUGCCGGGGAAACUGGCGUGCUUGAGUCCGCGGAAAGCAGGCGGAAUUCGUGGUGUAGCGGUGAAAUGCUUAGAUAUGACGAAGAACCCCGAUUGCGAAGGCAGCUUGCUGCAGCGGAACUGACGCUGAUGCUCGAAAGCGCGGGUAUCGAACAGGAUUAGAUACCCGUGUAGUC